UAAUUAGACAACAUGGCUCUAAGAUUGAGAGCCAAUCCAAAUGCUGUUAAGAACAGACACAAAAAGAAAACAUCACAGAAGUCUACCACUGUGCAAGUGAAAUGCAUGUCUAUACAAAGCCUCUGUGGGAGACACUACGUACUUUCAUAAACAAGCACAGCUGGGCACUGCGUAUCAUGCUUUGGCCCUGAUUCUUAUGCAAGUGGAGCCAGCUUCGCAGCUGAUGCAAGUUAGCAUACCUUCACUAAUUUCCAAACUGAUAUACCUCAACUGAUAGCCUGAACUUUGGGGGUGAAAUCUGACAGCUGCUUAACAGUGUAUGGCAAUGCAACACCACAGUUUAGGAUAUGCAUUAAAGAAUGCCUCAGGGUUAUUUUACACAGGCAGAAUGCAAUUAGCCACACUGGAAUGUGUCUACGACAUCAGGAGUAACACCAUGCAACUCCCCAAAAAACCCUAUGGGGUCUGUUCUAGGAGCUCUGAGACCCAUAUGGCACAUCAGAGUACUGGUGCAGCACUGACUUAGAGAAGUGCAGCCUUGUAAAUCACCAGCCCCACAAGCUGCAGCCAAGUUUUCCUUGCAGCCCUCCCACCCAAAUAAUAAACAUGUCCAUGCCUAGUCCACUCAUGAAACCUGUCGAGCACAUAGCCUGCAGGGGCUCUGGCUUGCCGGCUGAUAGGCAGACAGAUUUGGCUCUGGUCCUGGUUCUUGCAUCAUUUUUGUCCAUUUCUUUUUCAGCAGGAGAAUGAACAAUUUAACUUGACUUAAUGAUGCCUUGCCAUUCUGAUAUUGGUGGCAAAUCAUAAAGGGCUCCGUGAUAUGGAAGUGAUGUUUCUGCAUGGUCUGCUGGUCAGAAAGAAGAGGCCUGCCCUCCCCAAUACAUUGUACAUGAUGUAUUCAGUGAUUACUACAUUCUGAUUAAAGAAUAGGGAUAUACUCAAUCUUGUAGUAGGUAGAAGCCUGUCGGGUUGAUUUUGCUGCUGGAGAUUUUUAUACUGAGCUAAGAUUCAAACCAAUGUUUCAGCAACUUUCACUGACUGAUUACAGUAGAUGCAAAGCCCAUGUCCUUUUCUAGGUCAGCCAGGAGAUGGCCAGGCCUGGGGCAAGGCUCCUUGUGAAUUAGACAUUUGGCCCUGCAGCCAGGCUGUACAGAUGUUCCAGUGAUUAGAGCAGAGAACUAGAAGUGAGACUGCCAGAGCUCUAUUCUUGGUUUUGGAAGUUUUAUGCCCAUCUAUAUAACCGAACAGCAAAAAUCCUGCUUUUUGUUUCUUUUUAUAACAUACUGUCCCCUUAAAUCAGACAGCACCUUGCCUGUGAAGCUGUCCACUUUGGAGAACUGUUCUUUUUUGGGCAGUUGCUAUGCUCUGCCUUAUGUGGACUUUACUUUUGUUCUUUCUUGGCAUAUUGCUUAAUGUAAAAUCUAAGCCACCCAGUCUGAAAGUACAGGACUGCUCUUGUGGAUAGAAAAACACAACCCUAGGUGUUUAUCAGGGGCGAUAACGUUGCAGCAUUUAGAAAUGCAGAGCACAAGCUCAGUGGGCAAGCAGUCUCAGAGCAGUUUCAAUUCUUUCUAUUAUGCAUAGAGGAGAGAGACAUUGAUUAUGUUGCAUGGUGCCAGUCAUAACAGUAAAGAAAGAGGCAUCCAGGCACCACUGGGAAAUACUUAGAGAGCAAUACACAGUAGAAUGAUUGACAUCUUUAUACUCAGCAAGGAAGAUUGAGGUCAGAUGAUCUGAGUGUGUUUUAGAUGUGUUAGUUUGCUGGAAACAAUUUACACAAAGUUAUUUUGUUUUCUCUCCAGCCCAGAGAAUCCUAUGUGCUAUGUCAAAAGAGGGAACCAUAUUAUAGCGAGUGGUGUGCACACAGGAAAUGGUACAGUUCAUAUAAAAGUAGGAGUCCUCUGCUACCCUCUAGAUUGAUGUCCUGAAGAACAAAAUGUGCAUCAAUUAUGUGUGCCAUAACCAUAGCCAACAGAGAGAGAGUAGUUAUGCAGGAAUGGGGUAUGAUCAGCAGGUGGAGAACUUUGCAUCCUCUUCCCCUAUCCCCAUUACCUCUCUCCAGCUCUUCCCCCAUUGUGACUCAGUGGUACAAAACACAUGCCUGGAGGGCUGGUGUGGUUUUUCUGCAUACUACUGCUGGAAGCAUGCCAUUGGAUACUCUGGUACCAGCGGCAGAGGUAACAGAUGCAGAACAAGGCAGGAAAAGAUGAUGGAUGGAUGUAAUAAGGUUCACACAGAGUUUCUAAUGAUGAGCACUGCUGGACUAGAAGGAAGCCCAUAUAGAGAGCUACAACCAGCUGCACCAUCAUGUGUGUGGCCAAGCACUACUAAUUAAAGGAGGCACCAUGUCUAGUGGUCAGAACGCUGGACUAGGCCUGAGGGGAUCAGUGCCAGAUGCUAGGAUACAGGCACGAUGAUCUAGAUACCGGGGUUCUAUUCCUGAAUCUGCUGCCACCCUGGAUAAGUCAUUUCAACUUUCCUGUUCCAGUUUCCCCACCUUGCCCUGAGACUAAUGAUAUUUAUCUGACUUAUAAAGUGCUUUGAGUGCUACUAGUGCAAACUGCAAUACAAAAACUAGGCAUUUAUCUAUUAUCAUAUUUUCUCCCAUACCUCACACCCCCAAAUAUGACACACACCUUGUGUUUGGAAGGCAGAACAUGGUAUUCUUUUUUUCCAGAGCCAUGACUAACUCUGACAAAAAGUAAGUGCUCCUGGAAACCCAGUGUGUCCAGGAAGUGUGGCAACCCAGGAGACUGAUGUCUGGUUCUGCUGCUGAUUUAUCUUGGGAUCUGGCAUACCAUGCAAUGAGCUGUUGCUUAGUCUCUGUCUCCUGCACAUUCCUUGCUCUACACUUUGUCUUUGAGCUGCCAUUGUUUCUUUUGACUCCAUUCUGGCUUCUCCCUCACAACUGGUCAGCAGCGAUGCAUUGCCCCAUCUCUGCUGCUGCAUUUUCAUGUAGUGCUUUAAAGGACGGGUUAUCCACACACCAGGCCACACACCACUUGGCACCAUCCUGUCCUAGGUGAGUAAUGCUGCUUGUAAUGCUUGUGAAGGGAUAACUGUGUGCAUACCAUGUUCAUCUUUGCAUCUGCUUUUUUUCUUUCUUAAUGUACCUUGCAGUUCACUUGGCAUGGUCAGAGCUCCUAAUAGUGUAGCAUGUAUUGGACCAGGAGCUCUCUCCCUAUGGGCCUGAGCUGAGAUGUAUUAAAGCCUACAGAAGCUUCUCCAAUGA
Alligator mississippiensis (American alligator) is the source of this 3232-nucleotide long non-coding RNA. RefSeq lists it as uncharacterized. The record is from RefSeq and is a predicted model, not a curated record. The transcript has 2 exons. NCBI's taxonomy places the organism in Eukaryota, Metazoa, Chordata, Crocodylia, Alligatoridae.